Molecule: ribosomal RNA, 1460 nt
Filed under: Synechococcus sp. BGS171
Lineage: Bacteria; Bacillati; Cyanobacteriota; Cyanophyceae; Synechococcales; Synechococcaceae
Also listed under: 1 other name
Description: 16S ribosomal RNA
Rfam family: Bacterial small subunit ribosomal RNA
Source: RNAcentral
UCAGGAUGAACGCUGGCGGCGUGCUUAACACAUGCAAGUCGAACGAGCCUUCGGGCUAGUGGCGGACGGGUGAGUAACGCGUGGGAAUCUGCCCUCAGGAGGGGGAUAACGGCCGGAAACGGCCGCUAAUACCCCAUAUGCCGAGAGGUGAAAUGAAUUUCGCCUGAGGAUGAGCCCGCGUCUGAUUAGCUAGUUGGUGGGGUAAUGGCCCACCAAGGCGACGAUCAGUAGCUGGUCUGAGAGGAUGAUCAGCCACACUGGGACUGAGACACGGCCCAGACUCCUACGGGAGGCAGCAGUGGGGAAUUUUCCGCAAUGGGCGAAAGCCUGACGGAGCAACGCCGCGUGAGGGAUGAAGGCCUCUGGGCUGUAAACCUCUUUUCUCAAGGAAGAAGACAUGACGGUACUUGAGGAAUAAGCCACGGCUAAUUCCGUGCCAGCAGCCGCGGUAAUACGGGAGUGGCAAGCGUUAUCCGGAAUUAUUGGGCGUAAAGCGUCCGCAGGCGGCCUUGUAAGUCUGUCGUUAAAGCGUGGAGCUUAACUCCAUUUCAGCGAUGGAAACUACAAGGCUUGAGUGUGGUAGGGGCAGAGGGAAUUCCCGGUGUAGCGGUGAAAUGCGUAGAUAUCGGGAAGAACACCAGUGGCGAAGGCGCUCUGCUGGGCCAUAACUGACGCUCAUGGACGAAAGCCAGGGGAGCGAAAGGGAUUAGAUACCCCUGUAGUCCUGGCCGUAAACGAUGAACACUAGGUGUCGGGGGAAUCGACCCCCUCGGUGUCGUAGCUAACGCGUUAAGUGUUCCGCCUGGGGAGUACGCACGCAAGUGUGAAACUCAAAGGAAUUGACGGGGGCCCGCACAAGCGGUGGAGUAUGUGGUUUAAUUCGAUGCAACGCGAAGAACCUUACCAGGGUUUGACAUCCUGCGAAUCCCUUGGAAACGAGGGAGUGCCUUCGGGAGCGCAGAGACAGGUGGUGCAUGGCUGUCGUCAGCUCGUGUCGUGAGAUGUUGGGUUAAGUCCCGCAACGAGCGCAACCCACGUCUUUAGUUGCCAGCAUUCAGUUGGGCACUCUAGAGAGACCGCCGGUGAUAAACCGGAGGAAGGUGUGGAUGACGUCAAGUCAUCAUGCCCCUUACAUCCUGGGCUACACACGUACUACAAUGCUACGGACAAAGGGUUGCAAGCUCGCGAGAGUUAGCUAAUCCCAUAAACCGUGGCUCAGUUCAGAUCGUAGGCUGCAACUCGCCUACGUGAAGGAGGAAUCGCUAGUAAUCGCAGGUCAGCAUACUGCGGUGAAUACGUUCCCGGGCCUUGUACACACCGCCCGUCACACCAUGGAAGUUGGCCAUGCCCGAAGUCGUUACUCCAACCCUUGUGGAGGAGGACGCCGAAGGUGGGGCUGAUGACUGGGGUGAAGUCGUAACAAGGUAGCCGUACCGGAAGGUGCGGCUGGAUCACCUCCU